Astyanax mexicanus (Mexican tetra) is the source of this 417-nucleotide long non-coding RNA. RefSeq lists it as uncharacterized. The transcript has 3 exons. The record is from RefSeq and is a predicted model, not a curated record. Lineage: Eukaryota; Metazoa; Chordata; Actinopteri; Characiformes; Acestrorhamphidae.
UUGUUAACAUUCCUUAGGAGUCACGUGAGGCACCGACGCACGUCAGCACUGCACAUAGUCUAGGCGGGGCUUCCUCCAUUUACAACACCCCGCUCAGCGACCCCGCCGCCGCCGCCGCCGCCGCCGCGCCGCUGUGGAAAAGCCAGGCCGGGCCGGGGUGGACUGUGCUGCCGCUGCUGCUGCUGCUACUGCCGCCCGGGCCUGAGACCCAGCACAGAUCACAAACCUGACCAGGGCUGCACCAUUUCAGCUUCAGUUCCUUUAAAAGAUUUUUCUACUUGUAUAUGUGGUCCUGCUCCUGCCACCUUGGGAAAGGGUCAGCAUGCUGGUGGGGAAGCCUCCCUUGCUGUGGAGUUCUGCUCAGAUAUUGGAGAUGUCACACCAGAGUUGACAGCGUUCCAGUUAAACAUGGUAAAU